UACGGAGGGCGAGCAGUGGGGAAUAUUGCACAAUGGGCGCAAGCCUGAUGCAGCCAUGCCGCGUGUAUGAAGAAGGCCUUCGGGUUGUAAAGUACUUUCAGUCGUGAGGAAGGUGUUAAGGUUAAUAACCUUAGCAAUUGACGUUAGCGACAGAAGAAGCACCGGCUAACUCCGUGCCAGCAGCCGCGGUAAUACGGAGGGUGCGAGCGUUAAUCGGAAUUACUGGGCGUAAAGGGCACGCAGGCGGUUAAUUAAGUUGGAUGUGAAAUCCCCGGGCUUAACCUGGGAAUGGCAUUCAAGACUGGUUAGCUAGAGUCUUGUAGAGGGGGUAGAAUUCCAUGUGUAGCGGUGAAAUGCGUAGAGAUGUGGAGGAAUACCGGUGGCGAAGGCGGCCCCUGGACAAAGACUGACGCUCAUGUGCGAAAGCGUGGGGAGCAAACAGGGAUUAGAUACC
This 454-nucleotide ribosomal RNA is filed under the name uncultured bacterium. Its description in RNAcentral is "bacterial SSU rRNA". It matches the Rfam family "Bacterial small subunit ribosomal RNA", at positions 340 to 786 of the family's 1533-position model. The record is from RNAcentral.